AGCAAGUGUAUAUAUAUAUAUAUAUAUAUAUAUGUAUAUAUAGUGCAUGUUUCUGUAGACUGUUUGGCUCGGACAAGUCUAAGCUGCAGGGCACAACAGGGCAGUCGUCACAGUUGACAUUUGGCAACAUUUGCAGGAACGUGCAAAUAGGAUGCCAAGCAAGUUUUGAAACAUCAAGGAAAUGGCUUUGAAUGUGGUACCCAGGAAGACAAACAUCUGCACACUGGAUCAGUAUAUCCUCUAUGCCCUCCUGCUAAGUGUAUCUUACUCCACCUCACGCCUGCCCCUGAGUCUCCAGAGAGUUCUCCAGCCCCAGAGCUCAUUCCAGAAUCCUCUUCAUCCUCCAGUCUGGACACCAAAUUGACCCCAGCACAGAGAGGGAGACGUUUGGUGCUGGCAACCAAGGUGGCGGAUCUUCCCAUGAAGUCAGUCCGUUCAUCUCUAAAAAUAUUACCGGCAGUUCCAGAGCUCCCCAGUCCAGUGAUCCCAGAGCUCUCAAAUCCAUUGGUCCCAAGUCCGCUGGUCCCAGCACUUCUGCGUCCAGUGGUCACAGAGGUACUUCCACCGUCAGCUGUGUUUCCUGUGAUGCAACUGCCGUUUUGUGUGUUUGGGCCUCAUACACUUCUCCUGCUUCUUACAAAGUGUCAGAGAACGCUACUGCUCCUCCCAAGGUGGCUACCAACUCUCAGAAAAAUAACUCUUUCUUACUAGGUACAGUACUACUCAGUAAAAGGUAAAGUAGCUGUGAUCGCAUUGUUAAAGAAACUGUUUUGCAAGCAGUGAUCACAGAAUCAAUACAAAUGUGAAUGUUCACAAAAGUUUUAUUUAACUAAAUCACGAACAUAUAACUAGUCUAAACAAACGCAUACACACAAUCACAUACAUGGGUAAAAUGGUGAAAGCAAACAAAUGAAACCGAAAUAGAAACAGGGGAAUGAGGCCAUGGAAUUGUAAUUGUCUGUUAACCACCUGAAAAAAAAACACCAUCAGUUUCUUAAUUUAAAGCACCCUGGUAGCAAGGGGCCUACAGUUUGGACUAAACCUCUGUUUAGUUAGUUAUAUGUGCAAUACUUGCAAUGCCUUAGCCGUUGGAUGAGCAUCCAGAUGAAGUCUCAGAGGAAAGUCUUGAUGGUUCCAUGGUUCCAUGGUGGAGAAGAUGUCGGCAGAGACCUCUCCCAGGUGGAAAGUUACAAAAUGGCUUGAUGUAUUGAGGCCCUGCUGUGAGGAGUCCUGCAGCAUUGCGGAGUCCCAAAGUGAGGUCCCAUGGUGUUGCUGUUGGACCAGACAUCUACACUCUUUUCCCACAUGAACAGCAACGAGAAGAGCGUGAAGGUCACUGAGAUAGUGGAAUCUGCUAUAUCUGAAAUCCAUUCCUUAACUCCCUCCUGUACUUUCUCCUGUAAAUGUCAUGUUGCCAUGGUUACUAAUCACCUACUCCUGGUCCUCAUCACCACACCAGUCAGUUCCCCUUCAAAAGGCACACACAUUCGCUCAGUCUUAGUUCUAGCCACAUCAAGGUCUCAGACCCCCUUACCUGCAAACUUUAUCUACUGUGUAUGUUCUCCAGUGAUCUGCUUGGGACCUAGUAGGACAUUCCAAGUUAUUCAUCUGCAUAUUACAUUGAACGUAAAUUUAUACAUGUUUCACCUGUCACCUGAUUUGAUACGUUUCACCUGUUUCUGGGUUCUGGUAACACAAUGUGCUUGUUGCUUUCUCUAUUUCUGUUUUAUUAUGUGAUAGAAAGCCUAAGGCCUUCUCAAGCCAUUUGGCAAACCCAUCAAAUCUGCUGCCUAUUACACAAACUAAGAUUACUGUGGAGACAGGAAGUAAGACUGUUAGCACUUUUAAACAUCCACUCACUUAAAAAUAAAUCACUUCUAGUCAAUGAAUUAAUAAUGACAAACAACCUAGAUUUUAUGCUUCUAAAUGAAAUGUGGCUAGAAGACAGCUGCAGCUCAACAGUCCUCAAUAAAACAGCCCCCCCUAACUGUACUUUUAUGAGUGUCUGCAGAGCUGUUAGGAGAGGUGGAGGUGUAGCUGCUCUAUUUAAAAAUGUCUAUCAAUGCAAGCAAAUGUCAUUUGGUGAUUACUUGUGUAAUGAAACUAAGUCUCACUCUGUAAUGGAAAUGAAAACGUUACCAUGGAUGACUUAAGAGUGAAAGGAUCUUGGUCUGGUGCUUUGAGUCUCGAUUAUGCACAAUGUGUGAAUAUGUUUUAUCUUAGACUAUUGUAAUAUAUAAUACAGGAAUAGAUAGUGUGGGCUUCAGGUCAGUAAGUGUCAACCCGGUGGCUUCCUGAAGUAUAGAUAUGUGAUAUAAAGUGACAACUCAAAUUCACGUUCCCACCCUCCUAAUCCUAACAGUCUAAGUGAGAUGCCCCUACUCCAAGGUUAGUAAAAAAAACAAACAAACAAACAAACAAAAAAAAAACAA
This is a long non-coding RNA of Megalobrama amblycephala (Wuchang bream), 2432 nucleotides long. RefSeq lists it as uncharacterized. NCBI's taxonomy places the organism in Eukaryota, Metazoa, Chordata, Actinopteri, Cypriniformes, Xenocyprididae. The transcript has 2 exons. The record is from RefSeq and is a predicted model, not a curated record.